Non-coding RNA from Callorhinchus milii (elephant shark), 679 nucleotides. Lineage: Eukaryota; Metazoa; Chordata; Chondrichthyes; Chimaeriformes; Callorhinchidae. The record is from the annotation of a RefSeq genome assembly.
GCCUCACUAAAUCACCCAAACACCCACAUCUUCACAUCACAUGAGGUGCGAGGGUUACCUUCACUCUGCCAGAGAUUCACAUCACAGAGAGAGAGUGUGAGUGAGAGAGAGAGAGAGAGGGAGGUUGUGAGGUUCCCAAGGUUAAUCCAAGUCUCUGCAAACAAUGAGUCUGUCCUUUCUCACUGUCUCUCUGAUCUCCAUCUUCUGGCCCUGCUGGGUGACGGCCGAGCUGAUCUAUCAGUGGCCUCCGAGGACGGUGGUGAGAGAGAGCGACUCUGUGCUAUUGGGUUGCCACCAGAAUGACAGCAGUAAACCUAUAAUGCUCUGGUACCAGCAGAGAGAUGGAGAGGGCCUGAGACUGAUCGGCUUUACCUACUAUCCAAACCCACCGACUAUGGAGAAGGACGAGCAGAGUAAUUUUGAGAUCAUAUCGCAAGAUCAGACAACAUCUCGGCUGAACAUCUCAAUGGUGAGAGCGCCGCAGGAGGGGAUGUAUUACUGCGCAGCCAGAGAUGAGCACAGUGAGAGAGAUUGACUGAAAGCUCACUCAUAAACCUCACUCCUCACACACCCUUCCUGCCACUCCACCUCCCUCCCCGCUUCACACUGGCACCUGUACUCUCCAACAGAAUGCAGCAAUGUCGACAGAGAGACAGAACGUGAGAGCGAGAAUGAGUAG